This 456-nucleotide ribosomal RNA is filed under the name uncultured bacterium. RNAcentral's name for it is "bacterial SSU rRNA". It matches the Rfam family "Bacterial small subunit ribosomal RNA", at positions 340 to 786 of the family's 1533-position model. The record is from RNAcentral.
UACGGAAGGCAGCAGUAGGGAAUCUUCCGCAAUGGACGAAAGUCUGACGGAGCAACGCCGCGUGAACGAUGAAGGCUUUCGGGUCGUAAAGUUCUGUUGUUAGGGAAGAACAAGUACCAGAGUAACUGCUGGUACCUUGACGGUACCUAACCAGAAAGCCACGGCUAACUACGUGCCAGCAGCCGCGGUAAUACGUAGGUGGCAAGCGUUGUCCGGAAUUAUUGGGCGUAAAGCGCGCGCAGGUGGUCCUUUAAGUCUGAUGUGAAAGCCCACGGCUCAACCGUGGAGGGUCAUUGGAAACUGGGGACUUGAGUGCAGAAGAGGAAAGUGGAAUUCCACGUGUAGCGGUGAAAUGCGUAGAGAUGUGGAGGAACACCAGUGGCGAAGGCGACUUUUCUGGUCUGUAAACUGACACUGAGGCGCGAAAGCGUGGGGAGCGAACAGGGAUUAGAUACC